AAGCUGAUCAGCAUGCCGCGUGAGUGAUGAAGGCCUUCGGGUGUAAAACUCUUUUUGCUGGGAAGAUAAUGACCGGACCAGUCCGGGGAGGACCGGACAAUUUCAUGCCAGCACCCCCGGUUAUACGACAGGGGCCACGGUUGUUCGGAAUUUCUGGGCGUUAAGCGGAUUUAUGGGGUUUGACGGGUGCGGAGGGAAAGCCCCGGGCUUAACCCGAAAGCUGCCUUUCAAACUGGCCCUCUGGCUUGCUGGCUAGGGGAGUUGAAUUUACUAGGGGCAGGCGAAAUGUGACUAGAAGCGGUGAAAUGCAUCUGUAUGACACAGAGCGCCGUUUGCUAACCCAGAUUGCUAUGCUAAAAUUGACGCUGAGCCACGAAUUCGAGGCCCUGAGACUCAAAUANAUACCCUGGUUGUCAANCAUUU
Molecule: ribosomal RNA, 423 nt
Filed under: uncultured bacterium
Lineage: Bacteria
Description: bacterial SSU rRNA
Rfam family: Bacterial small subunit ribosomal RNA
Source: RNAcentral